This 468-nucleotide ribosomal RNA is filed under the name uncultured bacterium. RNAcentral's name for it is "partial 16S ribosomal RNA". It matches the Rfam family "Bacterial small subunit ribosomal RNA", at positions 28 to 507 of the family's 1533-position model. The record is from RNAcentral.
GACGAACGUUGGCGGCGUGCUUAACACAUGCAAGUCGAACGGAAAGGCCCUGCUUUUGUGGGGUGCUCGAGUGGCGAACGGGUGAGUAACACGUGAGUAACCUGCCCUUGACUUUGGGAUAACUUCAGGAAACUGGGGCUAAUACCGGAUAGGAGCUCCUGCUGCAUGGUGGGGGUUGGAAAGUUUCGGCGGUUGGGGAUGGACUCGCGGCUUAUCAGCUUGUUGGUGGGGUAGUGGCUUACCAAGGCUUUGACGGGUAGCCGGCCUGAGAGGGUGACCGGCCACAUUGGUACUGCGGUACGGCCCAGACUCCUACGGGAGGCAGCAGUGGAGAAUAUUGCGCAAUGGGCGGAAGCCUGAUACAACAACGCCGCGUGCGGGAUGACGGCCUUCGAGUUAUAAACCGCUUUCGCCUGUGACGAAGCGUGAGUGACGGUAAUGGGUAAGGAAGCACCGGCUAACUACGUG